AACUCGAUCUCAAAUCAAGUAAGACUACCCGCUGAACUUAAGCAUAUCAAUAAGCGGAGGAAAAGAAACUAACAAGGAUUCCCCUAGUAACGGCGAGUGAAGCGGGAUGAGCUCAAAUUUAAAAUCUGGCUGGUUUACUAGUCCGAAUUGUAGUUUAUAGAAGCGUUUUCGGUGGCAGCCUGGGUAUAAAUCCUUUGGAAUAGGGUAUCAUAGAGGGUGAGAAUCCCGUCUUUGACUCAGUGCAUGCUACUAUGUGAUACGUUUUCAAAGAGUCGAGUUGUUUGGGAAUGCAGCUCAAAAUGGGUGGUAAAUUUCAUCUAAAGCUAAAUAUUGGCGAGAGACCGAUAGCGAACAAGUACCGUGAGGGAAAGAUGAAAAGAACUUUGAAAAGAGAGUUAAACAGUGCGUGAAAUUGUUGAAAGGGAAACGUUUGACACCAGUUAUGCGGGUGGAAAAUCAGUCUUUUGCAAUGGGGAGUUGUGGGCGUUCAGACCGCAAGGCUGGCGUUUGCUUCAUCUUUGUUGUAAGUGAUGCACUUUUUCAUUUGCAGGUCAACAUCAGUUUGCUUUGCUGGACAAAACCCCAAGGGAAGGUGGCAGCUUAGGCUGUGUUAUAGCCCUGGGGCGAUACAGUGGAGUGGACUGAGGUUUCGCAGUGUGUGCUCUCGGGCAAGGCUGACUGGGUGCUAUGGGAUCGUUCGGCGUACAAUGCAUGCAUUUUGCGUCGUGUCUUUUUCAUACUCGCUCAACUCGGCUCUUCCACACUUAGGAUGUUGACUUAAUGGUUUUAAACGACCCGUCUUGAAACACGGACCAAGGAGUCUAACAUAUAUGCAAGUGUUUGGGUGGCAAACCCAUGCGCGUAAUGAAAGUGAACGUAGGUGCGAUCCGCAAGGUGCAGCAUCGACCGAUCUUGAUAU
RNAcentral lists this ribosomal RNA (919 nucleotides) under uncultured zygomycete. RNAcentral describes it as "eukaryotic LSU rRNA". It matches the Rfam family "Eukaryotic large subunit ribosomal RNA", at positions 1 to 777 of the family's 3401-position model. Lineage: Eukaryota; Fungi. The record is from RNAcentral.